Molecule: ribosomal RNA, 255 nt
Filed under: uncultured bacterium
Lineage: Bacteria
Description: partial 16S ribosomal RNA
Rfam family: Bacterial small subunit ribosomal RNA
Source: RNAcentral
UACGAAGGGGGGCUAGCGUUGUUCGGAAUUACUGGGCGUAAAGCGCACGUAGGCGGAUAUUUAAGUCAGGGGUGAAAUCCCAGAGCUCAACUCUGGAACUGCCUUUGAUACUGGGUAUCUUGAGUAUGGAAGAGGUAAGUGGAAUUGCGAGUGUAGAGGUGAAAUUCGUAGAUAUUCGCAGGAACACCAGUGGCGAAGGCGGCUUACUGGUCCAUAACUGACGCUGAGGUGCGAAAGCGUGGGGAGCAAACAGGG